This 274-nucleotide ribosomal RNA is filed under the name uncultured bacterium. RNAcentral's name for it is "partial 16S ribosomal RNA". It matches the Rfam family "Bacterial small subunit ribosomal RNA", at positions 28 to 334 of the family's 1533-position model. The record is from RNAcentral.
GAUGAACGCUGGCGACGUGGAUAAGGCAUGCAAGUCGAGUGGGUUUAGACCCACGGCGAACGAGGUAGUAAUACGUAGGAACCUCCCCCGAUCUCAGGGAUAAUCAGUCGAAAGGCUGGAUAAUACCUGAUAGUCCCGCAAGGGUAAAGAUUUAUCGGAUCGGGAAGGGCCUGCGCAGUAUCAGCUUGUUGGUAGUGUAAAGGACUACCAAGGCAACGACGCUUAGGGGAGGUGAGAGCCUGACCCCCACCGAUGGAACUGAGACACGGUCCAU